This 1113-nucleotide ribosomal RNA is filed under the name Candidatus Wolfebacteria bacterium GW2011_GWB1_41_12. Its description in RNAcentral is "bacterial SSU rRNA". It matches the Rfam family "Bacterial small subunit ribosomal RNA", at positions 382 to 1525 of the family's 1533-position model. Lineage: Bacteria; Candidatus Wolfeibacteriota. The record is from RNAcentral.
CCUGAUGGAGCGACGCCGCGUGCAGGAUGAAGGCCUUCGGGUUGUAAACUGCUUUUAACUGGGAAGAAGUCGCAAGACUGACGGUACCAGUUGAAUAAGGGGUUGCUAACUCUGUGCCAGCAGCAGCGGUAAUACAGAGACCCCGAGCGUUAUCCGGAUUUAUUGGGCGUAAAGAGCGUGUAGGGAGAUUGAUGUGUCUGAAGUUAAAUCUCAGGGCCUAACCCUGAGCCUGCUUCGGAAACUAUCAAACUAGAGGGCGUUAGAGGCAGAUGGAACAGCCGGUGUAGGGGUGAAAUCCGUUGAUAUCGGCUGGAACACCAAAGGCGAAGGCAUUCUGCUGGGACGUUCCUGACCCUGAGACGCGAAAGCGUGGGCAGCAAAAAGGAUUAGAUACCCUUGUAGUCCACGCCCUAAACGAUGUCCGCUAGCUGUUUCGAGUAUCGACCCUCGGAGUGGCGAAGCUAACGCGUUAAGCGGACCGCCUGGGAAGUACGGUCGCAAGACUAAAACUCAAAGGAAUAGACGGGGACCCGCACAAGCGGUGGAGCAUGAGGUUUAAUUCGAUGGUACACGAGAAACCUUACCAGGGUUUGAAAUGUUGGCGAAAGCUGUUUGAAAGGACAGCUGUCUCACAAGGACGCCAGCACAGGUGCUGCAUGGUUGUCGUCAGCUCGUGGUUUGAAUUGUUCCCUUAAGUGGGGUAACGAGCGCAACCCCUGUUGUCUGUUAUAAGUGUCAGACGAGACUGCCGUGUUUACACGGAGGAAGGCGGGGAUGACGUCAAAUCCGCAUGGCCCUCUGAUACCCUGGGCCACACUCAUGCUACAAUGGCCGAUACAAAGGGUUUGCCAAAGCGCAAGCUGGAGCUAAUCUCAGAAAAUCGGCCCCAGUUCGGAUUGAGGGCUGAAACUCGCCCUCAUGAAGCCGGAAUCGCUAGUAAUCGCGCAUCAGCUAUGGCGCGGUGAAUACGUUCUCGGGUCCUGUACUCACCGCCCGUCACGCCAAGGGAGCCGGGAGAAGGUGAACCCCGACAUUGCGUCGGAGCAGCCUUAGCUCGGUGACAUGGGCGAAGUCGUAACAAGGCACGCGUAGCGGAAGCUGUGCGUGAAUCAA